This 206-nucleotide unclassified non-coding RNA is filed under the name soil metagenome. Its description in RNAcentral is "partial contains 5.8S ribosomal RNA, internal transcribed spacer 2, and large subunit ribosomal RNA". The record is from RNAcentral.
AACGAGGCCGACCUGCGGCUGAGUUACCUGCGGAGGGAUCAUUAUAGAGUUUUCUAAACUCCCAACCCAUGUGAACUUACCUUUUGUUGCCUCGGCAGAAGUUAUAGGUCUUCUUAUAGCUGCUGCCGGUGGACCAUUAAACUCUUGUUAUUUUAUGUAAUCUGAGCGUCUUAUUUUAAUAAGUCAAAACUUUUAACAAUGGAUCU